Prunus mume (Japanese apricot) is the source of this 2548-nucleotide non-coding RNA. NCBI's taxonomy places the organism in Eukaryota, Viridiplantae, Streptophyta, Magnoliopsida, Rosales, Rosaceae. The record is from RefSeq and is a predicted model, not a curated record.
UUCCAUCGAGCUCUUUCGAUUUUCUAGAGAAACAACAGAAAUCAUUAACAAGAAAAGAAAAUCAAAACCCUCUCUUUUCUGUUUUUGGUUCGGAAUUUGAACUUUAAAAGGAAAAAGCAUUUCUCGGAGAGAGUCUUAAGAUCGAGACCUUGAAUUGAAGAUUAAAAGGAUUUCUAGGGUUUCGAUCUCGAAAUCUCGGCGAUUUUGAUCGGAAUCUAAUCGGAAAGGGACUAGAUUUUUUUUUUUGUGCUUUCGAGAUUUAGGUUUUGGAGUUUCCUUCGCAUUUGGAGGGAAACCAUGAACGAUCAGUCGCAGCUGAUGAAUCAAGCGCCGAUGAUGAGUCUGAGCCAAGCUCAAGUCAUGAGCCAGCCGAUGCCGCAGAUGAUGAGCCAGCCGCCUCAGAUGAUGUCACAGUCAUCUCAAGCCAUGGCGGCUCAGCAGCAGCAAAUGAUGAUGAAGAGUCAGUCUCUGCCGUUGAUGUUGAACCGAAACUACAAGGCUUGGCCUCAGCCUCAGCCUCAGCUACAGUUCGCGGCCCAAAAGCCUCCGUCGAAUCUCGGACGCAACAAUUGGAAAGGCAAGAAGGGCACCGACAAAAGGAAAGACCAGAGAAGAAUGGACAAGAAUCCGAAUGUCCCCAAUUUGCCACCGAGUGGUCAGACCAGUAGCGGAGGAGGCCCGGGAGGGUACAUACCCCCAACGCUUCAUGAGUUACAGUCGCAGAAUCGAAUGAAAGCCCGGAAAUUUUAUCCCAAAAAGAAGUUUAACAAUAGGUUUGCCCCUUACGCCCCAAGGAACACGACGUCCUUCAUUAUCAGAGCGAAGAAGUCCGGUGGCAUAGCCUCGCUGGUUUCGCCUUGCCCGGUGACACCUGCUGUUCUUCCCACGCCCAUUUUCUCGCCCUCGAGGGAGGUCUUGGGGGAUAUGGCGAAGGAGGAGUGGGGUGUUGAUGGGUAUGGGUCAAUGAAAGGGUUGAUUAGGCUGCGGUCGCCUGGAAAUGAUGAUGACGAGGAAGAGGGUGGUGGUGGGUCAAGUGAGAGUGACGUGGAGGAGCAUGUGGAGGUGGAGAGGAGGUUGGACCAUGAUUUGAGUCGGUUUGAGAUGAUAUACCCGAACUACAGUGGGGUCGAGUAUAACAACGUUUUGGAGAAUAGAGUGGAUGAUCAGGAUACCCAUAUAGCUCAAUUGGAGGAAGAGAAUCUGACAUUGAAGGAGAGGCUUUUCUUGAUGGAGAGGGAGUUGGGGGACUUGAGGAGGAGGAUGCAGUUUCUUGAGAGGAGGCACCAUGUAAUGGAGGUCAAUGAGGAGGUAGUAGAAAAUGGAUCUGAGAAUGAUAGUGAUGGAGGGUCAGAUGUUCCCCAUAUGGGUAUGGAGGGUGAAAGCAAUGCUGAGGUGGUAGAGUAUAUGUCCAGAGAUGGAGGAAGUAGAAAUGUUGGUGCCUUGGCUGAGAAUGAACGUGUUAGGGACGUUGAUGUAAGUAUGGAAGACUAUGUCCGCAUUGAAAUGAUUUUAAAGGACAAUGAAGUCAAAGAUGAAACAUCAAAUGAGGUUAAAGAUGAAACAUCAAAUGAGGUUGUAGGUGACGAACAGAAAGAGGAAGUUAAGAAUGAGCUUAUACCGGAAGAGGUAUUUGGAAAUAAAAAUAAGGUUAAUGAUAAGGUGAGUAAUGAAGUUGGGACCAAGAAUGAGAAUGAGUUAAUGCAGGGUCAGGUGAAUGCGAAGAAGGAUGAGGAAAUGGGAAUUGCGUGCCCAGAGAAGAGCAUUGGCGACGGUGACUAAUCUGUCCCCGCGUUAAUUGGCUUACACUCCUUGCUUCAAUCUUCUGUAUCGCCUGUGAGGGUGAUUCCAAAUGCGCAGUUGGAGAGCUCCAGCAUCUUUAAAGACGGUUGUUGUGCACUUUUCCUUUUCUAAGGGGGUGCAUUAGUGCCUAUUGAAUUCAAAAGUUGGAGAAGCAUUGAUGCUGAAAAGGGCCAAUACGUCUAAGUGGGAGUCUACUGCAGCAAAGACUUGACUGUUAGUUGAUGUUGCUCCUUCAUCAAUGUUUUUUUCCGGUGGGUGCAUGACUACGAACUCAACCUUGAGGACACCUUGGGGAAGCCGCUGAAGGCUUGUGUGAUGGAUGUUCUGUUCUUUGCUCGUUGCGUAAUUGUGGGAAUAGCUUUACCCAAUGUGCUUGCUUUUGUUUCCCCGGUAAUAUGAGCACUGCUGCAUGUUUCCCUUUCUCACAUUUGCUUGAAACUAUGAUGGGGAAAAAGAUGCAGAGCUCAUAUGGACUGCAGACAAGUGUUUUUUAUGCUUUGCAUCCAUACAUCAAAGCUGCUUUUGGCAAAGCCAAAGAUUCCUUUUAGCUAAGAUACUACUUUGUUUGGCUGAAAAUUCCUUGCAGUGGAUCUUCUCAGCAUCGGUCACUCAAUUACUUAGUGGUUAUCUUUUUAUAGUUCAUUUUCCUCAUUCCAAUAAUUUUCCAGGUUAAUAACGUACAGUUUUAAUGUAAUUGUACUGUUUUUUCAUUCACCAAUACAAAAACUAAGUUGUUUCAAUUCAACCA